GCUACCAGUAAGUACAGCUGGUUCUCAGGCUUCCCCAGCCCAUGGUGCCACCAGCCUGCCACUCUCUGGGGAAUUUUCACAUAACGCAGUUGACAAUCAUUCGCCUUGGAGAACAGAGCACAGCUCCCAGGGAGACCAAGGUGUCAAGCGUUUUCGAUCCUCCUGGCCCUACUGCGUCAAGACACCAGGGAUAGGCCCAUGCGAGUGAAUUGUGCCUCUUCCUCAGAAGGAAGGCUCCUUUGAGGCGGUUUCAACUAACAGAGCUGGCUGGCCUGGUCCCUUUCCUGGCUUACAACCAAGGCAAGCAGGGCAAGUUGCAACAUGUAGGCCCAGAAGCAAAGCACCCAGACUGGGCUCACAGUCCCCACGGACCAGACUGUGGGCUCGUGGGAGAGAAGCUUCUAUGUCCGUGUCUUCGGUGCCUGGCACAGAGGAGGA
Suricata suricatta (meerkat) is the source of this 438-nucleotide long non-coding RNA. RefSeq lists it as uncharacterized. NCBI's taxonomy places the organism in Eukaryota, Metazoa, Chordata, Mammalia, Carnivora, Herpestidae. The transcript is spliced from 3 exons. The record is from RefSeq and is a predicted model, not a curated record.